Grus americana (Whooping crane) is the source of this 320-nucleotide long non-coding RNA. RefSeq lists it as uncharacterized. The record is from RefSeq and is a predicted model, not a curated record. NCBI's taxonomy places the organism in Eukaryota, Metazoa, Chordata, Aves, Gruiformes, Gruidae. The transcript is spliced from 3 exons.
AAAAACGUUGCCUGGCUCAGGGCCACUGAGUGGUUUCUGUAGAGAUCCCACUUGAAACAUACCCACAUCAACUGGUCUUUGACAGUUGUUUCUCAUUGUCUGGGAUCUAUUAUCUCCCCAGGAUCGAAGCUCAGCAGGCCUGUCAAUAUCCAAACAAUUCAACUUUCCCUUAAAUACCAGCUUUUUUUCUCCUGCUGUAAUUUUGCCUGUACUCCACGAUCUCUGCAAAAACAGCAUUAGCAGUCCAGAAAAAACAGGAUCCUUUGCCAGCGGAGGGACUGGGGCUUUCAGAGGCUUUGGUUGCAGUAGCCUACAAAGGU